UUAAAAACUUUAUUAUAAAUAACCCAUUAUAAUAAUGAGAUAAUAGGCCAAAUACAUAAUUAAUGUGGAAAUUACAUCAGAACUUAAUCCUUUCGCCACCAACUUCCCUCUAUUAAAGACGUCAAAAUAGGGGGUUCUAAACAUGGCCCAACCCAUUAGCCCUUGAAAUGGGGGUACGGUGUUUACAUCCUUUUAUUGCUCUUUACUUAUUUUGGUCUACUUUUUAUUGCUCUCUUGAAACCCAGUGUUUGUAUUCUCCAAUCUACCGAGCAAUCGCAUAAUCGCAUGUGAUACGCUUAUGCAUUUCAAUGAAAAAAUCCAUUGGCAGGAGAAAAAAGAAAAAAGAAUCAAAAUAUUCCACCAAAUCUAUAUACUUUCUUCACUACAGAAAAUCGUAUAUUUAAAUUAAAAUUUUCCAUCAGUUGAAAGUUUUCAGUAUUUUGUUGAUGGUCAACAUUUUGUUUGGUAGACUGGCCCAUAGGCUAACUCUAGCAUGUACCGAUGAGCUGGGCUAAACUUCAGUGGCUCAUUUAACACCACCAACACACUCAAUCACCUCACAUGAACUGAAAUGAAAUAUUAAAAAAUUAAAAUAAAAAAUAUGAUAGAAAUAUAGAAUGAAAGGAGUAAUUUAAUUUAUAGUUUACACCUACUCUACAAAUUAGGCAUGGAGGAUGAAUUGAAAACAUUGGCCCCAUCUUUGUAAGUAUGAGUAUGGUAAUAUCUAGAAGCACUAUGAUGAGUAGCAGAAAAGUUUAUAGUCUUGGGAGAAAUGGAAUUCUUUCUUCUCUUCUGUCGGCAACAAUAGCAUUCGUUUAAUUACAGCUAUUAUUAUGGUGCUGAUAGAAAAUGAAUUGGAUGGUCGAAGCUUUUGUAAAUUUGUUUAUAAAAAUAGAAAGGCUAUCUGGCACCCGUCACAUUAUAAAAUCGUCAUUCUUAUGCGAUUUAGCUAAUUAAAUUAAAGGGUAAAGUAUAUUUUUUGUCCCUGAAGUUUGACAAAAAUUUCAAAAAUACUUCUAAGUUUUAUUUUGUUUCAAUUUUGUCUCAAAAGUUUUCGAUUUGCAUCAAAUAUACCCCUGACGGCUAAUUUUUCAAAAAAAUUAAGAUCAAUUCAACAACAAUUUCAUAAGAAUAACCCUCAACACAAGCAAAUUAAGCAUAAACUUUAUGUAUUAUUGUUAGAUUGGUCUUAAAUUUUUUGAAAAUUUAGCCAUCGAAGGUAUAUUUGAUGCAAAUCGAAAAUUUUUAGGACAAAAUUGAAACAAAAUAAAACUUAGGGGUAUUUUUAAAACUUUUAUCAAACUUCAGGGACAAAAAAUAUACUUUACCCUAAAUUAAAUUAAUUUGUAAAAGGGAGGAUUCGCUAAUUUCUUUUAUAUGGAUGAAAAUAAUGUAUUAUGCAUUGUUAUUAAAAGAGAGAAGAUAAAUAUAAAAUCAGAAAAUCCAAUUUUAUUAGUUAAGUUUUUUUGGAACACCACCUAAAUUAGUAGAUUCGAUUUUUUUUUAAUUAAUCAAUAUAAUUUGGGGGGUACAAUGUCAAGUGCAUCAUCAUCUUGUCAUACACAUACACCUAGACAAUAUUAAAAAUAAUAAGAGGAUUCACAAAGUACACUUUGUGAUAAAGCUUUUAUUUUUCCAUAUAUGGUAGCUAACAAACUUUUCAUUAUUUAUUUCAAUAUUAAGUCCGAAGAUUCUUACUCUCGGACAUGUAUAUUAAUUCGACAAAUUAUUUUAAUUUUAAUAUAAAAAUAAUAUUUUUUUCAAUUAACAUUUAUUUAAUUAACUUGGUCAUCAAAUAAAAAUCAAAAACAAAAUACAUGCCUAAAAAUGUUUUGUUAUUAGAGUUGUCGUCUGCUCUGCUAUGUUAGAAUUAGGAAAAAUUUUAAUUAUAAAUUUUCUUUAUUUUUGUGAAUGUCUUUGGUUGAACAAUGACAGUAUCUACUAUCUUUCAGAGGCGCGAUACGCGUACAAUUGAAGAAGAAGAGAAUGAGGUAUUGAAAUUUGAGGAUGAGGAUAUUCAGGAGAGUAUUGAGAAGUGUAAUAGGAGUUUGAUUGGAAGGUCAUUGGCGGACCAAAAAUUUAGUUCUGAAACGUUGGAAGCAGCACUAUAUGCAAUAUGGAGGCAAUCAGAGGGCUUUCAGGUGAUGGACCAUGGGGUAAAUUUAUUCCAAUUCUUUUUUAGCAGCGAAGUGGAUAUGUUUUGGAUGAAAAAAAGAGGACCGUGGUUGUUUAAGAACUAUAUUUUGCAUCUCAAAUGUUGGAGAGAAGAUAAUCCGAUUGAUGAGAAAGAAUUUUCUUGCGUUCCAAUAUGGAUCCAACUAUGGGGUUUACCGAAAAAAUAUAAAAGUAAAGAACUCGGCCGGAGGAUUGAAAGAUCGCUAGGGCGAGUUUUGGAUGCGGAUCUGUUUGUGAUGAGGGGAAAGGAAGAUCGUAUAAUUAAGGUUCUAGUGUAGCUUGAUGUUACCAAACUUUUGCGUAGAAUUAUGAAGAUUUCAGGCAAUAAUAACCAGAUUCUGGAAGUGCAACUCAAAUACGAAAAAAUUGACAAUUUUUGUCACUAUUAUAGAGAAAUUAGAGCUUGCAAUGGUUAUUUAUAAGAUUCCGUGGAAGAAAAACUAAAAGAGGAAUGAUGGGGGAUGUGGAUCAGAACGAAUCAAUUUGGUCGAAGUGUUGAAGAGGACAAGGAGAAUAACAACACAAAUCAUAAUUUCAGCACCGACACACAAGAUCCUAGAUACAAAAAACUAACUCUGGUAUGCCUCAUUCGAGGUUUUUCCAAUCUCUCAGUAAAUAAUAGGAGCUCGCAAGCUAGGCCAGAAGAAAAAGAAGUUCAAAGUAUUAAUAAGGCACUAAGUGACUUCGGAAAAACAAAAUCUAAAGCUAGAGGAGUUUUGGAAAAAAUAUGAAAGGGAAAAAAGGAAGGAACAAAUCAAUCCUAUCAUAAUAAAUUAGUUGACACCUUUUUAAUUGGGGUGUGUGAGGGGACAAAGAGAGUUUUGGAGAGGAAGAAGCUGAAUUUAAAGAAAUUGGCUAGAAGAGAGCAGAACCACAAAUCUGUGACGGGUGCUAAAAGAAUUAUAACAGAGGUGAAAGAAAAUUCAGCAACCAAAAAGUGGUAUUUGAAGGACGGUGAGACAGUUACAAUGGGAGAGGGUGCCACCUAAAAUUGGACAUCCAAGGAGGUAUGAAGAUGUUGUUGUGGAACUGUCAGAGUUUAGAAAAAUUCCUGACGGUUCACAACAUACAAGGGAUUAAUAAAUCUCAUUCUCCCGAGGUGUUGUUCUUGUGCGAAAGUAAAAACAGUACCUUGAAUGUGGAGAGAGUUCUAAAGAGAGUCAGAUUUAAUUCAGUUUGGAGGUUUAGCAUUAGCAUGGAAGGAGGGAGUAAGUAUUCAGGUCUUAAACCGGGAGAAUUUUUUGAUUCACUUUGAACUAGAGAUUCAGCGAAGUAACUUGAGGUGGGAGGUUUUGGCAGUCUAUUUGCACACGGAUAAAACUAUUAGGGAGGAACAAUACUCAAAGUUAUUACAAUUGAUUGAGAAUGGUGGAAACCAGAUUAUACUUAUGGGAGACUUUAACGCUAUUAAAGCUCAUCAUGAGAAGGAAUUGGACAGACCUAAAUUGGCAUCAUCUAUAAGAAAUUUUAGUGACUUUAUUAAUGCGAGAGGGUUGGUGGAUUUGGGUUACGAAGGUGAUAAGUUCACAUGGUCAAAUAGGUAAUUUGGUGGCAAUUUUAUCAAAAAAAGGUUGGAUAGAGUGCUGGUGUCAAUGCGAUGGAGGGCAGAAUUUUCAAAUGGCUAUGUUAAGCACCUAGAUGACAUGGGUUCGGAUCACAAGCCACUCCUUAUUGAUUCCGAUAGGGAGGUGAGGAGAACGAAGAGGAGAUUCCGAUUUCAAGAGAGAUGGUGUGAGAAUAAAGAGGUGGUGGAAUUAAUUAAGCAUACUUGGGCGCUAGACAUGAGAGGUUCACCUAUGUUUAGACUGGCUGGGAAGCUCAAGGCAACUAGACAUUGCAUAGUGGAGUGAUAGCAAAAUUCUUCUUCUAACUCCAAAAAGAAAAUUCAGGAAAUUAAGAAAAAAAUAAUAGGGGAGGCAGUUAAGGACAAUCCAGCUAAUGGAGCAGCUAUCAAGGUAUGGGAGACUGAAUUAAAAGAUUCACUUGAGUUAGAAGAACGAUAUUGGAAGGAAAAAUCUCGAGUCCAGUGGCUGAAAUGGGGAGAUCGCAAUACAAAAUUUUUUCUAUCCAAAUUUUACAUUAGGAGUAGAAGAAAUAAGGUGCAAGAGUUAGAAGAUGCAUAAGAGAAUGUAGCCACCAACGCUGAAGGCAUUGCAUCAACAGCCCAACGAUACUUUGAAGAGUUCUUUACAUCAAGUAAUCCAAGAGACCCAUCAACUGAAAUUGAGGGUAUCCCAACAAAAAUCAAUGUUGCCACCAACCGUGCACUAAUUAGACUGAUCAUAGAAAAAAAGUGAAAGCUGCUAUUUUUUCUAUAAAUGCUUUUUCGGCCUCGGGAGAAGAUGGACUCACUGUUAAAUUCUUUCAAUUUUUCUGAAAAACGAUUAAAGGAGAUAUUUUUCAGGCGGCUAGAAGUUUUUUCUCGGGAGGUAAAAUCCUAAAAUCUUUUAAUCACACUCAUAUUUUCCUUAUUCCGAAGGAUCCGAAUGCAAAAUCCAUGAAACAGAUCAGACCUAUAUGCUUGAGUAGUGUUUUUUAUAAAGUCUUAUCAAAGAUUGUAGUGCACAGGCUUCAAUUUGUGAUGAAUAGACUCAUAAAUGACAUACAGAGUGCUUUUAUUAAGGGGCGGUUGAUUAGUGAUAACGUGUUAAUUGCUUAUGAAUUUAUGCAUUUUUAAAAAAUAAGAGAUACAAUGAUUAUGAAUUAGCUCUAAAACUAAACAUGAGUAAGGCAUAUGACAGGGUGGUGUGGAGUUUCGUUUAGGAGGUUAUGAGGAAGUUGGGUUUUUACAGGAGAUGGAUGGAAUAGAUUCAGGAACUGGUGAUGACGGUUUCAUACUCUGUUACUGUGGAUAGUCAGCCUCAUGGUUUUUUUUAAGCCAUGUAGAGGGUUGCGUCAAGGCGACCCUCUUUUCCCUAUCUAUUUUUAUUUUGCGCAGAGGAAUUAUCCCAUCUGCUCCAUAAAGGAGAAUAGAGACUGGAGAUUACAGGAUUGAGACUUAAUCAAAGGUGUCUUAAAGUCAGCCAUACAUUUUUCGCAUAUGACUCAAUUUUAGCAAAGCUACAGAGGACGAGUGUCAAAAUCUGCUUCGGAUCCUACAUGUUUAUGAAGAUAUUAGCGAUCAAGCAAUGAAUUUGGAUAAAUCUUCAGUGUUUUUCAGCAGAAAUAUCCUUGUGGGUAUUCGUGAUUAUCUAUCUCACAUCUUACAUGUCUCUCACAUAGAAAACCAGAACAAGUAUAUUGGGCUACUAGCGGUUAUUCAGAGAUCUAAGAGAACUACAUUUUUGUAUAUCAAAGAUAAAGUGACACAUAAACUGCAGCACUGGAAGAGGGCUUUGUUAUCCUCAAGCAGCUGAGAAGUACUAAUAAAGAUGGUUGCAAUGGCAGUUCCAAUCUAUACUCUGAGUUGUUUUAAACUACCAAAGACGCUGGUUGAUAAAAUUCAAAAGCUCAUGCUCCAAUUUUGGUGGGGACAGCGAGACUCGGAAAGAAGGAUGCACUGGAUAGGAUGGAAAAUUUCUUAUAGACCUAAAUCUCAAGGAUGCACUACCAGACAGAACAUGGAGCCAGACACUAAUUCGUGAGGCAUUCAGUCCAACAAUUGCAAAUGCUAUUCUAAAUUCAACAAUUCACCAGGAGGAGGAUAGAAUUACCUGGAUAAAGAAAAAAUUUGGGACAUAUAUAGUAACUUCUGGUUAUGGUGUGGUCUUUCAAUUUUUUCACCCUCCAACAUAUUUUCUUCCAGAACACUGCAGAAAAAAAGAAUUAUCGACAGUCAUUUAGAAUCUCAGAUGUCAACCGAAGAUUAAAAACUUUAUGUGAAAGGUGAUGCAUGAGGGUUUAUCUGUGAAACAAAAAUUGGGACAAAGAAUUUAAAUAAUGGUACCGAUUUAUCCAAGAUGCCACAACGAAAAAAAUCAAUCUUCCAUUGUUUUUGGGCUUGUCCCGACGCAGUUGAAACUUGGCAUGUAUGCAACCUUCCUUUUCCAUCUCACACGGAUCUUUCAUGGUAGUGGUGACUGAAAUUACUUGAAUGGUUCAGUGAUGCUAACAAGAAGAAGAAAAGGAACUCAGCAGCUAUUAUAACUUAGUUGAAUUGAAAAGUUAGGAAUGCAUUUGUUUUUGAAGGGAAACGGAAGUCCCCUCCUAAUUGCAAAAGAAGCUCAGGGGGUAUUUCUUGAACCUCAAGACUUUUAC
RNAcentral lists this long non-coding RNA (6372 nucleotides) under Arachis ipaensis. Its description in RNAcentral is "long non-coding RNA (AIPA_LNC000791)". The record is from RNAcentral. Lineage: Eukaryota; Viridiplantae; Streptophyta; Magnoliopsida; Fabales; Fabaceae.